AGCAGCCGCGGUAAUUCCAGCUCCAAUAGCGUAUAUUAAAGUUGUUGCAGUUAAAAAGCUCGUAGUUGAAUUUCGGGAUUAGUAAGUUGGUCGUGCCUCCGGUAUGUACUGGCUUUACUGGUUCCUCCUUCUUGAAGAACUGUAAUGUUAUUAAUUUGGUGUUGCAGGGAAACAGGACUGUUACUUUGAAAAAAUUAGAGUGUUUAAAGCAGGCUAACGCUUGAAUACAUUAGCAUGGAAUAAUGAAAUAGGACGUUUGAUCCUAUUUUGUUGGUUUCUAGGAUUGACGUAAUGAUUAAUAGGGAUAGUUGGGGGCAUUAGUAUUCAAUUGUCAGAGGUGAAAUUCUUGGAUUUAUUGAAGACUAACUACUGCGAAAGCAUUUGCCAAGGAUGUUUUCAUUAAUCAAGAACGAAAGUUAGGGGAUCGAAGACGAUCAGAUACCGUCGUAGUCUUAACCAUAAACUAUGCCGACUAGGGAUCGGAUGAUGUUAAUUUUUUAAUGACUCAUUCGGCGCCUUA
This 520-nucleotide ribosomal RNA is filed under the name uncultured Glomeromycotina. RNAcentral's name for it is "SSU rRNA". It matches the Rfam family "Eukaryotic small subunit ribosomal RNA", at positions 569 to 1090 of the family's 1831-position model. Lineage: Eukaryota; Fungi; Glomeromycota. The record is from RNAcentral.